Molecule: unclassified non-coding RNA, 519 nt
Filed under: uncultured Glomeromycotina
Lineage: Eukaryota; Fungi; Glomeromycota
Description: SSU rRNA
Rfam family: Eukaryotic small subunit ribosomal RNA
Source: RNAcentral
CACCGCGGUAAUUCCAGCUCCAAUAGCGUAUAUUAAAGUUGUUGCAGUUAAAAAGCUCGUAGUUGAAUUUCGGGAUCAAUAUAUCGGUCGUGCCAUUGGUACGUACUGGUAUCAUUGGUUUCUCCUUUCUGACGAACCAUGAUGUCAUUAAUUUGGUGUUAUGGGAAGUUAGGACUGUUACUUUGAAAAAAUUAGAGUGUUUAAAGCAGGCUUUAGCUUGAAUACAUUAGCAUGGAAUAAUGAAAUAGGACGUUCGAACCUAUUUUGUUGGUUUCUAGGAUCAACGUAAUGAUUAAUAGGGAUAGUUGGGGGCAUUAGUAUUCAAUUGUCAGAGGUGAAAUUCUUGGAUUUAUUGAAGACUAACUACUGCGAAAGCAUUUGCCAAGGAUGUUUUCAUUAAUCAAGAACGAAAGUUAGGGGAUCGAAGACGAUCAGAUACCGUCGUAGUCUUAACCAUAAACUAUGCCGACUAGGGAUCGGAUGAUGUUAAUUUUUUAAUGACUCAUUCGGCGCCUUACA